RNAcentral lists this long non-coding RNA (1009 nucleotides) under Oncorhynchus kisutch (coho salmon). RNAcentral's name for it is "lncRNA (ENSOKIG00005014805.1)". The record is from RNAcentral. Lineage: Eukaryota; Metazoa; Chordata; Actinopteri; Salmoniformes; Salmonidae.
GGCAGGUUAAUUAGCCAGUCCUGACCAACUAGAUUCCAUGUGGAAUGGUUGAAAGGAAGCCAGUCCUUUCUAUUUCUAUGUUUGAAUAAGUCUACUCUUCUUUAGAUUUCUACGCCUAGCAAGCAUUGAACUCGUUUUUCGUGGAGUCAAAUCCCCAGUCAGCUCUGAUUCAACGAGAUACACAUACAAACACGAACAUGGCACUCCAGAAUCCUGUGGUCAUCUCCCCUCUAGUUUUCAUGGGAACUCUCCAUCACAUAGACAUACAACCGUACGCCCGGCUGUGACACACACCUUGGUCUCGGGUGAUUGGAUAAUUUGUUUCAGUGUGUUAUGUUGUUUCUGAAGACAUGCUCUAUGAUUAUGUUUUCUAUGUCCGUGGUAAUGGAUGACCUGAAUGUCCUUUGUUCCUUCCUUUCGGGAUAAAGUGCGCACAGAAAGCUACAAGGACUUCAUGUACCUCAAACCCGAAGUGUUCAAGGACAAGGUGGUGCUAGAUGUGGGCUGUGGGACGGGCAUCCUGUCUAUGUUCGCCGCCAGAGUGGGAGCCAAGAUGGUCAUUGGGUCCAUUGAUUGAUUGACCAAUCAGAAAUCAUUCUCCAGGCCAUGGACAUUGUCAGGGUUACUUUUUGCUGUUUGAGUCCCUGCUCUACGCCAGAGACCUCUACCUGGCCGAAGGGGGCUCAGAACAUUGCACCAUCAGCCUGGCUGCAGUGGGCGACAUGGAGAAGCACCAGGGUUCAAGAUGGCGUGCAUGAGGAAGGCCGUGGUAACAGAGGCAGUGGUGCAGAUUCUCCGACCAGACACUCAUCUCUAAGCCUGCAGUCAUACAGAGGAUUGAUUGUAACAGUGUGUCUCUCAGAGCUGGAGUUUGCAUCAGACUUCUGCCUAAAGAUUACAGACUGCACGGCCAUCGUUGGCUACUAUGACAUUUUCUUCGACAGAUUCUGCGGCAACAAGGUAAGCAGCAUGUGGCGGCCCUUCCUUUUAACGGCAACCCAAUUAUAUU